Molecule: long non-coding RNA, 649 nt
Organism: Bactrocera latifrons
Lineage: Eukaryota; Metazoa; Arthropoda; Insecta; Diptera; Tephritidae
Exons: 4
Source: RefSeq, a predicted model, not a curated record
CUUCUUUGUUGAAGUUUCCCAUGUGUUCGUUAAUUCUAGUCACUGCUAUUUUAGAAAACUUGUCACAGCUGUGACCAGUGAUUUUUAAGUAGCAGUGACAAAGUCACAGGUACUCAAAUACUUGCCAUCUCUAAUAUGCAGACUUAAAUUGAUCGUCACAUGCGGUGGUGGUGUGCGCUUUCACUGCAUGCUUUGCCCUGGUGUUCAGUCAUCCACUUCUUUUAAUGUAAGUAGGCUUAAAGUCAGAGAAACAGCAGCGCAUGCAGAUCUCUGCUGUGGAUAGAAAUGAAGUUUUUAAUAUGUUAAAAACUAUUUCUGCACAAUUAGAAGCAUUGACGACAAGAGUAUCCAAUAUGAAGAAAAAUAUGGGCAGCUAUAUGAAAGAAAAUAUAAUUCAUAAAAGCGAAGAAAUGGCCCAACAAAAAACUGUGUGCGAAUGUAAGGUUUUAAUUAGAAAAUUCAAAAUUCAGUAUGCCGACUGACUGGUGAAGAAAUAGAUAGUAUGCAAACCGAAGUUGCCUCCACGUUACCAAUAACAACGAUAGCUGCAGCAUUGGAAAUGGACGAGAAACUGAAAUGCGAGGAAUUUGCUACUGCAACGAAACAGUUUAUUUUAAAAACAAAGGGAAAUUCAGAUAAUUUACAUGAU